Molecule: long non-coding RNA, 25915 nt
Filed under: Marmota monax (woodchuck)
Lineage: Eukaryota; Metazoa; Chordata; Mammalia; Rodentia; Sciuridae
Source: RNAcentral
GGAGGCCAAGUUGCCUGGGUUGAGGUAAGAUGAAGGAUAACCUCACAUUUUACCAGUGAAUAGAGAAAAGACACUCAAUGAUGUCCUCUAGGAGAGAAUUCAAGGGGUGUGUGGAAGUGGAAAGGGUCUGAAGAAUUUGUUCUGUAUUUGAGCUCCAAAGCCACCAUUCUAGGCUGCAUGGCUGAAUUCCAUUACCUGGGGUCACUUGGGUUCCCUGCCCCUGGCCAGUGGCAUGGCCUGGAACGAGAAGGCUGGAAUGGGAGUUUAGGAGGCUCUGAUGUGCCUCAUGGCUGCAUCCUAAAGAGCAUGCACUCACUCCUCUGCCAGCCAAGCAACCCCAGGUGCAGAGACAGGGAAACCUCUCUAGACUAACCUAAGAAUCAAACAUUAACCCAAAGUGAGGUACUUAAACAGCUCCAGCAAGCAAGAAAAUACAAUAAAUACCAUUCCAUUUACCAGCUUUCCAAGAUUGAAAAGAGAGAGUUAGCAUUAAAAUGCAUUUAAAAAAGAAAAAUCAAGUCAGUCUACAGAAGCUGGGGGAAGGAGGGAACACAUGGAGUCACAAUUCCUUCCAAGCCCACAGAAAGCAAUAAGAGUUCUCAUUUAACCCGGGGAAAUGACUGGCGAAUCACUUGUACUUUGAAACGAUUCUAAAUUGCAAACUAAUUCCCCAGUGGGAUAUGUUGAUGGCCUACUGUACCCAGCAUAAAUAAUGAGUUUGCAACCAGGAUCCCAAAUAAAGUGGUGCACGUUUGUGGAAUUCAUGAACAAGUUUCCCCCUCCGUCAUGUGACAUUGCAAUGUUAAUGCUUCCAGUUAGGAGUUCCACUGUGUCAGCAGGUGAAUUCCCUGGCAGUAAGUCAAACUUUAAUGGGACAUGCUGGGGGAGCCAUUAUGCUGCUGCAGUGUAAACUCUGGAGUCAGUGUUAGGCUUCGAGAGGUGUGGACAUGGCCUGGUACCUAUUCUGCUUGCAGGUGUUCUUUUCUGUUUGACUUUUAAUGCUAUAUUUUAAAUUGACCGUGACAAAGUUAAGUUUCUGUCUAAUAAAGGAUUUAGAUACAAUGGAUCUACUCAAACCUUUCUCUCUCUCUCUCUCUCUCUCUCUCUCUCUCUCUCUCUCUCAAAAACCGUUUUUAUACAAGGAAGAAAUCUGAGGGUGGAGAGGGUUAAGUAGCUGGUUAGAUCAGACACACUAAUACAGAGCAGAAUUGGGACGUAUUAGUGGGAGUUCCAACUGGGAGAACUGGAACAAGGCGUUCCCACCUAGGACUCACCCACUCCUUUGUUCUCUCUUAAGGAUGCUGUCUUUCACUGGGAAAAACAAAAACAAAAAUAAAGCAGGAAAGUGCAAUAACUUUUACAAAUAUAUUUAAGAAUGUUUGACGAAAAGAGGAAUCUGAGUUAUAAUUUAAAUAAUAGGAAGCAAAACAUGUAACCUAGUGUAGCUAAACAUCCAGAUUGCAAUGAGAAAUAGAUACAUAAUAAGAUAAGUCUACAAGAUAUUUUUAAAAAUACAUAUAGGGCUUCAUUCCUUAAACUUAAAACUAGGUUGUCACUGAAGAGCAAAGAUCAUGCCUGUGAACACCACACUGAGCUGGGGAUGAGACCUGGGGUACUUACGUAUUAGAGCAAGGCUUGUCUCCUUAGCCCCUUCUCCUGGGCUCGCUCAGUGACAUGGGGAGGCUCUUGCCCUCAGAGCAGUUCUAGCCACACAGCUCCCUUGGCAUCCCAGCGCUCUGUCGCCUGUGGAUAGUCUUCCUUUACCACACUGUCUUUGGUAAAGCCCUGCAAAUACAGCAAGAUCUGAGUUCUGUGCCAGCUUGAGAAUUGGUGCCACCGUUGCAAAGCCAUGCCAUCUGGGUUUGGAAUACCAACCAAUGAUCAGCCUACACCUAAGGACCAAAGCAGAUACAGCCGCAGUGAGCCUCAGGAGGCUGCACCUCUCCGCCAGGUGGUUCUCUGGCCGACCUCUGGAGAGCCACCUGCUCUCCACCCCGGUCCUCUGUGGCCACACCCACACUUCUGCACCUUCUCCACAACAUUCAAUCCUCUUCCCUAACACUUCUUUACCAAGAUUGACCAAGACUUUCCAGAUGCUGGCAUCAAAGGAUGCGCAGGUGAAGCUGUGGUCCUACGCCUGCAAGUAUCCUUUUCACAACUUCCAAAUUCACAUCUCUAAUCUGCAUCUUUCUUCUGUGUAUUAAACAUAUCGGGUUUUUGUUGUCAACUAAAUUAUUGCAGGAAUUUACACAUGAAUCUGUCUAAAUGAAUGGAAAUCUGAGGAGAGUAACUUCUUCCCCAAAUCUACAUAAUCUUUCUGUGCAUUUAAUGAUGAAUGUAAUGCCCACCCACAAGUUGACUACACAGGUGACCCCAGGAUAGAUCCUUUACUUCUCCGUCACUCUUCAACUUUCAGUCCAAGUGCUGACACGAUUUCUCUUUUUUUCAUCUUCAUGCCUUUCCAGCCUUCUGCCUUUUUCAUCCCUACUCCACUGUGGAGGGCCUCAGUGGCUCCCUGACCAUGGGUGACUGACAGUCCAUCAAGCCCCCUCCCUGUCUGCGGCCAAGCUGCCUCCAUGUCUGAAGCCCUCACACUCCCAGCGCUCAGCUCUAGCUCAGCACUUAGGGGUGGCAUUGUUCAGUGUGUUGACUCAGCCUUCUCCAUAAGCCACCUGGUGGGAGCUAGAAGCUAUGUCUUUUAAUAUUUCAAGAUGCCUGGCCCAGAAUAAGUAUUCAAUAUAUAAUUUCUAGGUGAGUAAUUGGCCAAGUAUCUAAAGCAAAUUAUCAUAAUUGCACUCAUACAUUCCCACGUAUAUGUUUUUAUGUGAUUUUAGUUUUGUUGUUCAAUUUUGUACACUUAGAAAAUACCAGCCCAAGCACUUUUUUACUUCCCACCUUGCUUUUUAUGCUAACAAUAAACAUAUUAAUUGAAGAAGGGUUGUUUUUCUCAGGCACAUUUUAUGACUUUGUAUUUAUUAGCUUAUUUUAUUUCUCCAACAGCUACAUAGGUAGUUCUUAUUAUUAUUCCCCCCAUUUUUACACAUGAAGAAACUGAUGCACAAACAGAAGCAGAAUAGGACCAGAAGCCAGAUGCCAGCGCCAGGGACCCUGCCCUGGCUGCUGCCGUGAUCUUGCCCAAGCCACUGUUGCGCUGCUUCUUGCCUCCCUUCCAUUCGUGAGGAGUGGGCAGAGGGGAGCCUCACUCCAGAAUCAAUUGCAAUGAGCCUCCCAGCUGGAAGCCAUGGGCCUCGUCAAGCGACUAGCCUGUUCUUGUCACCAGUGGUCUGUACCAUGUGCAUGGGAUGCAGAUGGUUUCAGCAUGAAGUAAAGAAAAUUGGCCACGAGGGCUGAGUGGUGGCUCAGUGGUAGAGCACUUACCUAGCCUGUGUGAGGCACUGGGUUCGGUUCUCAGCACCACAUAUAAAUAAAUAAAAAGAAAAGUCUACUGAAAACUAAAAAAUAUUUUUAAAAAAAGAAAGAAAGGAAGGAAAGAAAGAAAAGUGACCAUGAAUGAGUUCAGAAGUGGCCAAAAUCAUUAAGAUCUAGAAAUGCUUGAGCAUUCCUUUCAGAAUCCAGAUGUGAUAAAAAAUUAUUCAAAAUACAUGUAGAACACUUAUCCUGAGUUCCAUAAAGAGAUCCAAAAGUGAUGGAGAGUCCCUUUACGAUUCUUUGUUAAUCUUCUGACAAUCCCAUGAGGAAAGAUUCAUUUCAAUCAGUGCAGAUGACCUGAGGAGCUCUCAGUCGCUCCUGGCCCUCCAGAGUCAUGGCAUCCCUAGACCUCCGAUUUUUAUAAAAUAUUUGAAAGUAAGGUUGAACGUUCCUGUUCUAAAAUACACGGCUGCAUGUGCUAAGUGCUUUCUAGAGUAUUGUGACUUGUGUCAGGGUGGUGGUGACAGAAGGAAUGAAUCUGUUCAUUUGUUUAUGCCCGCUGGUGGAAAACAAACUGAAUAUCAGCCAACAUAAUUCAGUUGACACUGUUCUGAAAUAUCCUCCUCCCACACAAAGCAGGAUUUCACAUUUGCAGAAAAUAUUUAUCUCAACAGCAAGCAAGCCCAUACUGGCUCAUUUCAUAGCUUUAAAUCACCACAUGAAGGAACGUGACCAGGCCAAGUCUGGAGUGCUCCGGCUCAGGUAGGGAUGAAGCGUGUCACCAGUUCCCAGGGGCUAUCAGGGAGAUGGCAGCAGGCUCCACAUGAAACAACCUUCGGUCAGUUGUUUUGCCCCACUGGCCAACAUGGACAGGUCACUAUGGCUUGACAUCUGCUUGAAUGCCAAGCGGAAAGUUUGAAGAAGGCAUUUCAUUAUCUCAAUCAGGAUUACGUCCUGUGCUCUUGAAUGAUAUUCCAAGUCAGGUUACAACUUUUCUCUUAUGUCUCAUAAUUGUUUCAGUAAGAAUAAAUGUUGAAAGGGAAAUGUAUCCCAUUUGUAAAAACCUUGAAACAGUUAAGCAAUGAACCCAAUUAAGUAGCCUUUUUUUCCCAGAAGAAAGUAAUGUUUUAAAUCAAUUAAUUAAUUCUUUUUAUAAGCGUGUAUUGCCGUCACCUACAACAUAGCUGUCACUGAGCUAGGCAAGAGAAGGGCAAACAAAACACAUUUCCUCUGCCUCCUCGUGGGUUACAGUGUCUUGAGGGGACAUUCAGAAAUAAGUGACUGUGGGAUAUGUUAAGUACUUUGGCAGCACUGUGAAUAAACACUGUGGAUAACAAGGCAGAAACACAGAUACUUCUUGGAGUUUGGGCAACAGCCUAGGACAGAAGACACCUUUGCUUUGUGAGUGAGUGGAAGCUCACCUGUACACCAGUAUGAGAGCAGGGAAGGCAAGAAGUUGGGAUCCACCUUUCAACUCCUGGUGCCACAGAGACAAUGAGCCUGGUUAUGGGAAGGCCGAAGAGCUGGGUCCAGGAAAAACAUAGGGGAAUUGGCCUUGAGCUUUCCUCUAAAGAGUUCUUUUUAGAUAUUUUAACUUGAGCAGGUUUGUAAAUCUCUACCCAUCACAGUCUGGAAGCUGGGGUAUAUAUAAAGCACAGAAGAAUUGCCAAGAUGCUCAAGGGGAAAUUAUAUUCAAUAGAGGCAGAGAGGAUGUAAAGACGGAUUUUUUUUUAAAUUUUUUAUUUGUUCUAAUUAGUUAUACGUGCCAGCAGAAUGCAUUUUGAUCAUUGUACACAAAUGGAACACUACUUUUCAUCUCUCUGGUUGUACAUGAUGUAGAGUCAUACCAUUUGUGCAAUCAUACAUGGUCCUAGGGUAGUGAUGUCCGUAGGUAGUGGAAUAAGGAUGGGAUUUGAAGAACUGCAGAGGCAGAGCCCCAGGGAGCUCCGCCAUUACCUAGAGAAUUCCACACUGUAACCGAGCUGUCGCUCACAGACUCCAGGAGAAGCCAGAGCCUUGGAACUGCAAAGUCAAGGAAGGUCUGACUGAAGACCUGGGUCCGGCCCCUUGUCCUGUUGCUUCCAGAUGAUGUUGCACAUACUGGGCCGGGGAGGCCACCUCACGCCACAGGCUGUGAUUAUACUUGCAUUUCAGUCACUGGUCAUUUAUGUGUGGGAACAAAGGCCAGUGGUCUCAUGGUCUCAUGUUUAAUGGCACUUCUUUUUUUUUUUUUUUUGCAUGUGGGCAGCUGCCUGUAAAUAUUUAUGAAAUGAAUGAUUUUUUUUUUUGGAAAUUUUUAUUGCCUAAAAUAGUUCCCUUUCCCCAAUUCUAGUUGUUUGUUGGUUAUUUUGAAGCCUAAGUUAAAGGAAUCUCUUCAGCUCUGAAGUAGAAGCUUUAGAAGUGAAAGGUCUGGUAAACGUGUAGUGACUGGUGAUGGAUUCCAGUUGGAGGGGCCAUGGAGAUAGGUGUUGAGCAAGGGUUGCUUAGUGUGGGAGAAGCUGCCUGAAGCCAGCGUCCAUGUUCCCUGCAAGUUCCUUUCUCUAGGAAUAUUCAGAGAACAACCUGGGUUUGGUGAGUUCCCAUAAUGGAUAUGAAAUUGGCCACUUUUGAUGUGUAGAGUUUAUCUGAGAGCCAAAGAGGUGUCAUGGGCCACAUAUUGAUACUGACUCCUUUGACAAAAGUGUGCUUCAUCUUGAUUACUUACUGCUAGAGAUGUGUCUUAGAAGCCAGACCAUGUUAGGGAAUAAAGCCGGCUAGUCUAAGCCUACCUUUAUGGGAAAAGGGAGAAUGUGAAAGUUUUUAAUGCUUUUCAGAGUCCAUCAGAAGAUAAUUUACAUUUUAGGCUACCUAUUAAGAGUCCAAUUACCUGGGUGCAGUGGUGCACCCCUGUAAUCCCAGUGGCUCUGGAAGCUGAGGCAAGGAGGAUCACGAGUUCAAAGCCAGCCUCAGCAAAAGUGAGGCACUAAGCAACUCAGUGAGAUCCUGUCUCUACAUAAAAUACAAAAUAGGGCUGGGGUUGUGGCUCAGUGGUUGAGUGCCCCUGGGUUCAAUCCCUGGUACAGCCCCCCUCCCCAAAAAAAGAAGAAAGAAAACAAAACAAAGAAAAAAAUCCAAAUGGACUAAAAGCUAAAAUAGUUCAAAUCUGAUUGUCAUAUCCACCAAUGUCUACACUGCUGGUUUAAUGCAGAACAUCCAGUUCUUUCAGAGUCCCAGAAUAAAAUUAAAUUUACAGCAAUUUUUCUUAUUAGUAUAUUUGGUAAUAUUCUGCUUAUAUGAAUAUUGGUAAGUCAUGUCAUUGUUACACAUCCAUUCAUUCAGAAAGAGGCAUUUCAGUUCAGCUAUUUGAGAGGAAGUAUGCUAGUUGUUUGGGGUGUGAAUAAAUUAGGAAGGGUCCCUGCUAAAAAUCUAGUACAUUCAAGAGGCUAAAAAUCUAGUACAUUCAAGAGGCUAAAAAUCUAGUACAUUCAAGCUGGGUCUUUGUACUUGUGUUUUCAUGGUUCUUGGGCCCAGUGGGCAUUUGUCACACUUGGCUAUAAUGUCCUGUUCACAGAUAAUGUGCAAAAAAAGAGGAGAAAGAACAUUAGGAAAAAUUUUUUAAAAAAAUAGCAAAAGGCCUUCAGUCACUUAUAUUGACAACAGCAUCUUAUUUAUUAAAAAUGCAGAUAUUCAGGUCAAAACUCAGUUAAUUGAUAACCGUAACCACACUGAGGUAAAGAAAAUUCAAGAUUCAAGGCAACUGAAAUCAUGAAUAGCUCAUUGCUCAACUUAAUUGUUCUUUCUCCUCUUAAUACCGCCUGUUAACAUUUUGCAAUUGGAAUGUUUUCCAUCUGUGCCUUUACUUGAAUGGUGUGAAUAUAGCUGAUGAAAACUAUUAUCACUCUGUCUUUCAGACUUCGAUCUGCUUUGUGGUGACACGAUUACAAGCAGAAAAAUGUUAGUGCAGUCAUCCACUUGAUGUUAUAUAGUUUUAUGUCCCAGGGUUAGAGUUUCCCAUCUGUACUUCAAACUGCUCUAGUCAUUCUUAUUGUGAUAGGGAAUACCUAGGUAGACACGUGCAGAAAUGUCACCUGUGUGAUUGAUCAUAAUUGUGAAUGCUCUGUUGCGCUCUUUUAAAGAUUCAGGGUAACACUAAAUGUAAAGAUGCUCUUGUGUUAAUAAAUAAAAAUAAUUAGAAUGUAUGAAUUUGUCCAGUGUUACUUUGGGAUAUUCUUCCAAUAAAGUGUCCUGUGUUAAGUGUGAGAUUGGAGAAAAAAGUGAGAGGUUGGACAAAUGAGGAAAUAAAAUACUUAGGCACAAGAAGAAGAGUGUGACUUAAAGAGGAACUUAAGGCAGCGAGGGUAAAUGACUAUUUUGCAGGAUGUUUACUUUGUGUUUGAAAUUAGGAAAUUUUACAAAUCAUUUGACUGCAUAGGGAUGUCAUCUACUUUCUGUGUAGUUAACAUGAUUAGAAGAAAUUUGGAUUAGAAAAAAACAACAAAUGCUUUUUUACAUUUCUAUGUCAACAGAUAUUAGCCCAUAAUUUAGGCAAGGGAGGUAUUUCCUGCUCUGACAUGCUCAAAAAUAAGCCUGUGACUUUAUAUUUUAUUUUGUUUCUGUUUUUGAGGAAAUGCAACAGAAAGAAUUGUUACCCUUGUGGCCCCUGUGUCAGGUAAUGCCCGUGCCCCAUGGGCAAGUGUAGGAACUAGUCUUAGCCAGGACACAAGAUUUCCUCCAAAGCGAGUUCUUUGUUCAGAUUCAAAUACCAGUCUUCAGAGCACAGUGAACCAAGAGUACACUGCAGACAUGAUGUGCUUGAAAUCCACAGUUCGUCUUUCAUCUGUGUAAUUACAUUGGAAGAAACAGGCAGGAGCGUGCUGAGGACAUGCCUGGCUGGGAAUUGUGCUUGGUGAGGCCUGAGUGUAGGAGCCCCUCCCAUGCCCCGUUGCAACCUUAAGCACCAGUACAGCUGAAUUUGAAGGAAGAAGUAAUUCAUGACAUGUGAGUUCAUAAGGGUGGGGCCCUGACCAGGUUGGAUUAGUGUCCCUGUUGGAAGAGACACUGAAGAGCUUCCCCUCUCUGCAAGCAUGCACACACAGCACGGCAAGCUCUGUGAGGGUCUAGGGCCAGGCAGGAGGCAUCUGGAGGCCAGGACAGAUGUGAUUUUUUCUUAAUUCCACAUUCGGUCUUUUUUUUCCUCCUGAGAGUCUCAGGAACAACAAUGAAAGCCUACGGCAGUGGGAAAGCAAAACUGUUUUUAUUUUUGACCAAGAAGAGAAUUGGGUGACACUCUCACAAAUCAGCUUCUCAGCCUGAACAAAGACUGAGAAUUCCUUUAAGGUAAGGGGAGAGGGAAGAUCUUAGGUAGCAAGCAGGAGGAUUACACAUGACUUUUCUGGAAAGGACUCCGGGCUUGGCCUGGCCUUCCCUUAUUCAUUACCAGCCCCUUUCCAGUCUAGGUCCAGAAUGGUUGGCCAAGGUGGCCGGAGGGUGGGAGUUUGACUGGGGUGAUGUGUGACACUGGAAGGUGCAGAGUCUGGGUCACCCUGGGUCCUCUGUGGCAAAGCCAGCUCUAACCUGUCAUGCAGCAGUGGUUGCCAGAGGCCCGAGUGGCCUGUUUGGUGGUUUCAUCAUCUGAGAGGAACACUGAUUGGUGAAGUGGGCUGCACUGCUCAGGGCUUUGAGGGGGUGUCUGCCCUUGACAGACACUGACCCAACUGGACCUUGACCUGGGACUUCAGCCUCUGCACUCAGUCCAUGGUAUUUUGUUAGGAUUGUAAGAGUCAAUGUGUUUUUUAUAAAAGAAGUUUAUAGCUAAUGAAUGUUUAUGGAUACUUCCUCAAAACCUCUUUUUUUGAACAACUCAUUGGAGAACACUUGCCCUCGUUGUUCUUAACGUAGGUAUUGUUCACACAAGGCCUUUGCAUUUGUGGUCCUCAGGAAUGGUUAAGAUCUAAGAUACAAGACGAGAACCAAACAGGACAAUGUUGGUUCGGAUCUUCCAGAAUCCAGCCCAUGCCUCUGCAUUUCUCUAAUCAUUAUGUUUUUCAAGAUGAUAACAAAAUGUUCCCAGUGGACAGGACAGGGACUUUGAAGUCCAGAUCCAAAUAUUCAAUGGCAAUUGAGAAGCCAGGGGACACUUUUCUGGGCGGUCAGGGAAAGGCGAGCUGCUCUGGGACUGAGUGCUGUGGGGUUGAUCACACUCGUAGUUCCCGGGAGAUGUGCUGAUUUCACAGGGCUCUUUGUGAUGGUGAAGCGUGAGCAGCCUGCCUGUGUGUGUCUCUGUGUGCGCUUCCUACACGCUCUUCCCACUUGUCCAACAUUAGGCGAAAGGCAUUUCCAAAGAGAAUUCUAUUUCUGAGUUUUCCAUGAACAUCUGCAUUUUUCAAGAUGAAAAUGAUUCUUCCUGGAUUGAUUUUAACAACAAGCAGUGCAAAGAGAGGGGAUGCGAGGCAGGCGAUGUGGCCACACACCAAUUUCCUCCCUUACACACGGUUCCUAUCACUUAUCAGAAUUUUAAUUCCACCUGCUAAGUAAUGCAGGUCGUAGAGCAGAGGUUAUGCAUGCAGCCACAGCUGAAAAUCUUCAGAUGCCUUUUCAUUAUACUGUGGGUGCACUGCAAUCUCUUCGGGCUCCUUGGGGGAUGGAGCAAAGAUUGCUGAGAUAAAGGUGAAUUACUUUAUUUAUUUAUAUUUUAACAGGGAAAGAGCCACCCGUUGAUUCGUCCAUCACAGUUCAAACUCAGCCCAUCCAUUAGCAUCACAUCUGUUAUGGUCCUUUCUACUACACGAUUUUAGAAAGACUUAACCUCAAGUAUUUAAUCAUAAUGCUUGGAAGGGAGAAAGAUCUUUCCUUAGCAGUGUUGGAGUACUCAUUGGCAGACAGCAGAGACAGGCUGGGUUAAUGUCGAUUUCUUUACUUUUUUAUAAAUGCCCCCUGUGUUACCAGCAUGGAUUUGAAGGUGAUGUAAUUUUCUUGCAAAUCCAUUAGUUUUAUAGGUUUUUGGCAAGCCCCACUGCUAUGUUGAUUAGAUAUAGUAACUGUGUCUAUUUAAACAGGGCUUUAAAUGCUUGGCUCAACCCUCUGCACUGCUGGAUAACAAGAUGUACAGUAGAUGCUCUCACUUCAGGUUGUGCUAAGCAGUGGUUUGACACAUAACUUAGUGUUUAGCCAUUUGUGAUAAGAAGCACUUUAAUUGCAGAGUUAAUUGCAGGUGCCUCCAAGAUAUACUUUUAAAUGCUCCCUACCAAAUAAGAGACAGCCUCUCCACCUCCUUAGGUGGCUUUACUCUAUCACUGUUUCCCAAAGUGUCCUCCACAGAACAGCAACAUCAGCAGCACCUGGGAGCUUGUUAGAAAUGCAAAUUCUUGGUUCCACUCCAGCUCUUCUGGAUCUGAGAGUCAGGAAGUCAGACUCUGCAAUCUACACUUGACGAAAAGUACUCCUGGGAGUCUUCCCAUGGACUUUAAGAACCACUAUAUUGGAGAAUCCCUGUCACAGGGUGCUGCUGUAUUUUGGUGCUGAACAAUUAAUUUGAAACAUAUUUGACUUAUUCUGAAUGAAUCAACUUUCUAUAUCCAAAUUAGCUAAUGCUGGAAAAUUACUACUUAAUAAUUACAAAAAGCAAUCACACAUCUCUUAAUUUUUUAAUAUGUAUCUUUACACUGAUAGAUUUGGCUUCAUUAUAAAUGUAUUAGCAUUGAGGUUUGGGGGUGAGGGAAAGUAGCUAUUCUUUAUUUUCCUUAUCUCUCUUGCCUCCUCUUUUUCAUUAUCUAAAGAAGUUAACAUGGCAUGCUCCAUUAAACAAGAUGCAGCUUUUAUUAUCUUUUAUCUCUUCCUGAACCUUUUCAAUAAAUGCUACUUGAUUACUCUUGCAUGUUGAGAGAGACAUUUAGAAUAAUCAAAACAUAAAGAAAGUGUGAUGCUUGGUUAAUCCAGGGCAGAACAACUUCCUCAACACCAAUAAAUGGGUUCAGACUAAAGCAAACAGGAAUACCACGGGAUGCCAGAGAUGCUGCUUUGCAGGAGGUACGAGGUGAGAAAUCUGUUCCAGGAAAAUAAACAAAUCAGUGGUAAAUACACUUCCUAGCCAUAGAAGUGUCCAUCUCCUGAAAGAACAGCCCUGGCCACUUAGAGAUCUGAGAGUCACUGCAGUUGCGUCUUACAAAUGAUCGCUUUAGUUGUUCGUUUGUACAUUCACUCAUUUACUUUUCCAUUCAUCAAACAUGGAGAGGUUUCCACGGGUCCUUUUGUUGUUUUGCGUUAGCUGAGCCAGAACUGUAUUUCCAGAAUCCCCUUGCCUGUGAAGUUCCAGGUGUGUUGCCUGCGAAGUCACAAGACAAAAGAUGCUUGGUUGGCAAUUGGGAUGGCAGCAGUAAAUCAGUAACAUUCUCCCUACGACACUGUGUCACUUGUCUCAGGCUUACCUUGUUGGAAUGGGACAUUGCUGGCCCCACGGGCCUUCCAUAUCCUAUUGAACUUCCUCCUUUGGUCUCCCAGAUUCCUGGACUGUAUGUGGGUUUACUUUUCUUACAAAAGAUGCCAGAUUUUGCUUCUGGUCCAACGGUCAUGAAAAGUAGAUUCUCCAUGGUUAAAGGUAGACCCCUGUGAAUUCCAUGCCGCACUUGCUGGUUCCAGCGGGUCCCCCUCCGUUCCCAGGUGAGUCCUUGCUCAGCUUUCUUUCCCCGCAAUUCCUGUCCACGUUUCCUGUGUAAGGUGGGCCUUCUCAUCCUGCACUUCAGACCCAGGUUUUAAGCAGCUCUUGCAAUUUUAUAAAGUCAAAUCCACACAGUGAAGUUUUUAUUAGUGUCAUGGUCCAUUGAGAUUGCUGUAACAAAAUGCCCAGGCUGAGUGAUUUGUAGGAGUUUCUCUUUCACAGUUCUGGAGGCUGGGAAUUCAAGAUCAAUGGACCAGCUGACUCAGUGAGGGCUGUCCUGCUUUCAAGACGGCACCUCCUUGCUACAUCCUCUGGAGUGAGGCCUGUGUCUUCACCCGACAAGGGCAGCAGAGUGGAAGAGCUGUGCUGGUCCUGUAGCUCUCUCACAAGGGGUAAGAUCCCAUCGGUGAGGACAGACGUCACCUGGUCACCUCAAAGUCACGGGAUCUUCACAUCAUUGCAUUGGAGAGACACAAACACUGUAACCUAGUGAACACCGUCACUCCUAGUGAACAUGCAUCUCUGAUCAAAACAUCAUGCAAAAUUUGGUACUAAACAGUGUUCCAAAGGAACUGAAUCCUGACAAUACUUUCUUCUAAUUGUUUCUAAGAUUUCUGGAAUUCAUUCUAUGUUUUGUUCAGAUUUACAGGCAUUUCUGUACUUCAGUGACUGCCUCUAAACUCUGUGACCAAGUACAUUCAGAAGGUAUGAGCUUAUUGACAAAGGAUGCAAUUUCAAAAGCCCCAAAUUCCUGUGACUUACAAGCCACAAGAUUUGUUUCUGACUCAUGAUCCCCAGAGACACCCUCAGAGGGGCUGCAGCUGCACCCCACCUGCCUUCUCCAGUGGAAGUCACCACUGUCCUGGCACAAGGCAGGUCUCAAGUGCUGGCUGGUGCAUAGGGACCUGCCAUUGGUCAUUUACAUUCAUAUUCUGUUUGCAAAUAUACUGGUUGACAAAACCUGGGUUUCACAAGGUUUCUCUUACAACUUAGGACCAUGAAACCAGCCACAGCAAUUUAUUAGAUGACCCUAAAGGGGUUGGUUAUGAUUUCUUGGAGGCCUGAAAAGCCAUCUCAAAGCCCAGAGCAAAAACAUCAUGAAACAAGAUUAUGGUGAAAGAAGAGAUAAAUAAACAAUAAUAGUCCCAGAUGAGGAAAAAAGCAAUUAUGGAAUGGAAGACAGACAUUAUGUAAGCAAAUAAUAAAAUAAAGUUUUUAUGAGACAAAAUAGAAAGUUCUGUUUUUGUUCCAUGCUGAAAUGAAGAGAAAAAGAUAAAUCUAGAAAGUUCCUGGUAAAAAUUUCAACUGUAGGAACUGAUUUAAUAACAGCAAAAACAACACCAAAGGAACCCUCUUCUGGAGAGAAGUAAGAAAAUUUUCCCAAAGGGGGGGAAAAGUCAGGUUGAUAUCAGGCUUUUCAUCUCUAAACACUGGAAGCUACAAAGAAAAAAAAAAGAACAAGGAGGAGGAGGAGAAAAAAGAAGGAGGAGAAGAAGAAAGAUCCAAAGAAGAAAGGAGGGGAGGGGAAGGGCUCUUGGACAAUAGCCCUAAACCAGCCAGGACCUCGCUCUCUGGUGACAAUGACAGGUACACAGCAAGAGGGGGAAGUGAGCAUCAGACAGGAGAUGUGGCCACACCUCAGGGGUUCACGCAGCAGGCCCAAGAGCGCUGGGAAGGGUCUGCUUCCAAAGUAGGCGAGGUGUGAAGGCCCAGCAGGAGCCAGACCUCCCAGUGCAGAGGAGGAUGGAAGAACCAGAAAGACUAAUGACAACUCCUUUUCCUGUUCCCCUGGAACUCCAAAGCACCGUGGUAUUGGCUUUAGAGACUUCACAGAAACGUCUCACGUGCUUCAGUGGUUAGGAGAGUUGAGAUUUCUGCAUCUUGAAUAUUGGAUGUCCUGGGCACGUGGCUUUUGUUCCUCAGAGCGCGAGUGUCCUCUGUUAUGUCCACUGAUUUGCACAGGUUGAACCAUCCUUGCGUCUGUGGUAUAAAUUCCACUUGAUCGUGGCGUAGUCUCUUGCUCAUCUCUUGAAUUCCAUCUGCCAGUAUUUUGUUGUGAACUUUUGCAUGUGUGCCAUCAGGAAUCCUUUAAGAAAUUUUGAAACAGAAAAGACAUAUAGUCCUUGGUCUCAGUCUGCUGUAGCCGUUUGGUGGAAGAAGUAAUAACUAUCUUAGUUUUAGUGAAAAGUGUGGUUGUAAGUAUGUUUGUGGUCAUAACAACAGUAACCCUCUUGAUUGGGAAAUCUCCAUAGAAUUCCCAAGUUAACAAUGGAAGAAAGAAACAAAUAGUAGCUUAAUUAGCAGGAUUUAAAAAAAAAGAUGGAGGGGGAGUGAGAAAAACAACAAAGUACAAUAUAGAAAAUUAUAAAAGGAAAUUUCAUAAGAACAUCAUUGUAACAGACUGACAUGAAUGUAUAACUUUCGUCUUUUUUUCAGAAGAAAAUGAAUAGUCUUAAAAGCUUUUGAUGGCACAUGCCUGUCAUCCCAGCAACUCAGGAGGCUGAGGCAGGAGGAUCACCAAGUUCAAGGCCAGCCUCAGCAACUUAGUAAGGCUUUGUCUCAAAAUUGAAAGUAAAAAGAGCACACACUAUCUGAACAAUUCAGUGCACAGAGAGGAUUAAGCACUGCCAGAGGAGAGAUCACAGAGGUGAGCCAUCUAGGGGGGAAAAUGGUUCAAGAACAAUAGUUUCAGCCAAACAUUAAACCUUCUUUAAAUGUAGAUCAAGAAACUCAGUACUUUGUUUGAUUUAUGAAAGCCUAUGGAAAACAUUAGCAUCCUCUAGGUCCAUUAUUAAAUCAACAUUAUUUCGAUACCAACACUUGAUAAAGAUACCUGUAAAAAAGAAAACUGUAAACAAAUCUCAAUAAUAAGGCAAAAAUUCUAAAUGACAUAAUAGCAAGAACCAUCAGUCAUGUAACAAGAGAACAAUGCACUGAGUCCUCCGGGUUUCUUUCAAGAGUAGAAGGGUAGUUUAUAGGGUUAUAAGGCCAAAGGGGUAAAGGAUUUGAACAUUAUCAAGAUGCUCAAAAGUAUUUGGCAAAAUUCUGCAGUCAGUUCUAGUAAGAAUUCUAAAUAAUUUGAAAAUAAAAGUAGAAUACAUAAAUGGCAAAUGCUAUAUAUAAAAAUAAUAGCAAAUAUUAUCAUAAAUUACAAAAAUCGAAAAUAUUUCAUUAAAAAUUAGGGACUAGGUAAAGGUUUCCACCAACACUAUCAUUACUAUUUUUUUUAACAUUUAAACAAAAGCAAAAGAUAAGAAAAUAAAAUAACAUAAGCAUUUGACAAAUAUAGUUAUAUUUGUUGAGGAUAUAACUGAAGAUGGAAAUACCUUAAGAGAUACUUGUUAACAAGCCUAAUAAUUAAUGUGAUUACCUGGAUAGUUUAAUCAGUGGCUUUUUAUCCAAUCUGGAAAUGACAAUAACUGUACAAAAAACAAACAGCGAGGCAUGGUGCUACAUGCCUGUAAUCCCAGCAGCUCAAGAGGCUGAGGCAGGAAGAUCACAAGUUUAAGGCCAGACUCAGGAACUUAGUGAAGCCCUAAGUAACUUAGUGAAACCCUGUCUCAAAGUAAAAAGUAAAAAGGACUGGAGAUUGGAGCUCACUAGUAGAGCAUCUCUUGGUUAAAUGCCCAGGACCAAAUAAAUAAAUAAAUAAAAGAUAAAACAAAAAUGCUGAGUAAUUAUAUUUACAAACAUGCUAUUUUUUAGAGAGAGAAAAUGAUACGUCUUACUAAAUGAUUUAAUACUCAACACAUCACAAUUUCCUGGAUGACACGAUUUUAUGUUAUAAGACAAUGAAUAUGCAUACACAUAGGAAUGUAUUCCAAAUACCGUCCCCAACUUUUAGAUGGAGCUGACUGUUGGUUUAUGAAAAGAAAUGGGUGAGAGGAAACUACCCUCAACCUGUGUUAGGUGAACCAUGUUGUUCCCUUAAUGAAAUGACUAUCAUGCUGGUGUCAGAAUAAGCACAUAGAGUAAAUAGGAAUAGAAUGAACAUUUGAGUUAGUAGGCCUUUUAACACAUGACAAGGAAGUAGUUAAUUCAAUGAAAAACAGAUGGAUUUUUAAGCAAAUAUGAUGUGUAAAAAUGGUGGGCUCUCUGGGACAGGAUAUACAAAGCCUUCGGUGGAAAGCAAGUGAGCAAACACCUAUAAAAACUCUACUAAAUAGUAAGAAGACUCUGUAUAUAUAGCUGUUAGUGGUCAGUGGCCAUAAUAAUUGCUUCUGGAAAACUGGGAGUUACUACCAAUAAGUCUAGUCUACUGUAUAUAAAUAAGACGGUGGAAAUAUAGUCAACAGGCAAUGACCAGUCCAUGAAACUUUUUAAUCUGAUGACAUACAAAGAGUUAAUAAAAAAUGAGGUCUCACAAAUAGGAAAACAAAAAGUUUAAUAUAAAUUGGCUAAAAAUACAGCUCAGGAAUUCACAGAUAACUGAAACCUCAUCUGUACAUGCACAAAUCCUGCCAUUUGCAAGAACAUGGAUGGAACUAGAAAUCAUUACGUUAAGUGAAAUAAACCAGGCACAGAAAGUCAAAUGCUCCACAGUCUCACUCAUCUGCAGAAUUUAAAACAGGUGGAUUGAGAUUAUAAAGGUGGUCACCAGAGGCUGGGGAGAGAAGGAAGUGGGGAUGGGGGAAGGCUGACCAGUCAGCAGCAAGACCUGGGGUGCUACUGCACAGCAGCGUGGACUGUUGAUAGCCAUGAUGUCCUGUCAUUUCGUAGAGCUAUAAGGAAGCAUCUUGGAAGCCUUCAUCAUAAAGAAAGCUAGGAGGAAAUCACCUUUCCAUAUUGGGGCUGUGGGCAGAAGAGCAGGCUUAUCCAUAGAGAUGACAUAUGUGAACCAUGCGGUCUUUUUAAAAGGCAGCUGGCAAUAUUAUAAUUAAAAUGCAAAUAUCCUUUUAAUCCAUCUCAAAGUGCCAUGGACACACUGUGAAAAGGCACUAAGUACCAGGGCAGCAUUAGUGUAGUGGCCACCACUAGAAGCCUGUAGUGCCCAUACAUGGAAGAAUGUCACCUAGGCAAGGUCGUGUCUAUCAUACUUUUGUGUCUAUGUGAUGUUCUCAUAUUCUGGAAGACUUUUUAUCAAACAAUAGAAAUAUAUUAAUUCUUACAAGAGUGACUAUCUACUGGACUCCAAAGUUUACCUCCAAACUCAAUUUUUCUCCUCUGAUCAAAAAAGGAGCAAAAUUGAAAACCAUCAAUCAAAAGUUAGCCAAAGCAGCAAGAGCAAUGACAGCAGCCACAAUGACAAACGAUGGAAAGUUCUCGGGUUUGAGAUAAACUGAUAAUUAAAAUUACAAACACCUGCAAUUGGAAACACUAUAAGUGUUUAACCUGUUCUCACCUUCCUGCCUUCUAUUCUUUACAACCAUUGUUCACACUGUAAUAAUUUCGUACUAUAACCAGAAUGUUAUUAUGACAUGAAUGUGCGUUCAUAUUGCAGUAAAAUAUGCAUGUGGGGAUGUAGUUAAAAGUCAGCCAAGAAAAGAUAGUUAAAAAAAAACCACCACCUCAAUAGUGGGUUAAAUACAAAGCUAAUAAAAGUGAUGCAGUGGUUGUAAAUGAGAAAGCAUGAAGUCUCACCCACUCUCACCUCUCCACCCAAUGUUGCGAGAGAGUCCUGUGUGUGAUGCUCUUGAGUCAAGGCUCACAUUUUACAACAUUUGUGUUCCUUGAUGAACCACCACACCCCAGCAGUUGUCCUCAGGUCUAUAUUUCGAUGAACUUGACCUUUCACACUAGUUAUUUCAGCACAGCUUCUCAAUGCAUCUCUUAGUUGGUUAAAUUGCAACCCUGAGAAUUCUUGCUUGACCUUUAUUGUACAAGGGCUCCCAACUGCUGUCUUCCCUGAGAUCUUUUUUCUGUGUCUGACAAGGUCUCUCCUGCCUUUGCAGCCAGCCGGCUGUGCAGGAGAACAUCUUGGUUGUCACUCUGUUUCUCCAAGGAGUUGGUGUCUAUUGAUUGCUUCCCUCUCUUUUAUCAUUUCCUGUUCCUUUGGAGAAGGAGUAUUGAUUCUCCCUUUUAAAGCCUAGUGUUUUAUGUUGGGAUCACCAAGGAAAUAUUUCUUUGCCUUUAAGUGUGUAGCUGCUCCAAGGACAUGACUUGGCAUUAAUCUCUCUGUCACAAUCUGUUCCUAGCAUAUAGUCUAAUAGUACAAUUUUCAGAUUCAGGUAUGACUUAUUUUUGAAAGUUUUAUUAAUUAUGUUAGGGAAGAGAAUUCAGUUCUAUCUCUCAUCUUUUUUGAAGAAUUGUAUGUGUGCUAGAUAACUUUUAUAGCUACCAUUUUUCACUUAAAAGUCAUUUCACUCAUGAUGUCUUUUAUAUUGAUGUUGUUUUCUGUCAUUUUUUAAAAAUUUCUGCUGCUUGCAAUAUGAUUUUUAUUUCUCUUUCUUUCAUUGUUCUUUUAUUAUUUAUUAUAGAAACAUGUUUUUUUUCCAAAAUAUUUAAUGAGAAGUACCUAUUUGUCAUAUUAAAUUCAUUUGAUCUUCUAUGCAAAGAUUCAAAUUAAUUAGAGCAUUUGGAAGCAGUAAGUCCCUUGAGUGUCUGUCAUACGAUUUGGGGGAGAGUCGAGUCGUACAGAUAUCAGCUGUAGAAGUAAGAGUCCUAGAGAAUAAUGUGGAGGUGAAUGCAUCUGUUUGGAAACGGGCCAUGUGUACAGGUGGCAUAAGACAGGUGAUUCUUGACAGCAUCAGGAUUAUUGUCUUAUUCUUGAUUACACCUUCAGGGUCACAUUGAAAUCUUCCACACAUUACACUUUUGCUCAACAUUGCUUGACUAAUCAAUGAGAAAAAUAUCAAGAGCAGAAAUCAGGGACAGGUUAUUCUAGUCCAGACGUUAGUGCCAGGUCACAGGACAUCCAGGUCUUUCUUUGCAUGUUCUCUCUUCCAGUCUCUUGGCUACCGAGAGUAUGGUCUCUUCAUUUCCCUUCCCUUUCUUCGCUUCCUUGCUUCUUUUUGGUCCUGGGGAUUGAGCCCAUGAACUACAUACCAAGCUCUUUUAUUCUUUUAGACAGGACCUCACUAAGUUGCUGAGGCUGACCUCAAACGUGCAUCCCUCCUGCCUCAACCUCCCUAGUCACUAGGAUUAUAUUCCUGUACUACCAUGCCUCACACUUUCUAAUGUUAAUAAAAUGCAAGGAAUAAAAUGCCGUCAAGAUUCAACACAAUGACUCUUCUUUUCAUCUUAAUGGAGAAAAAAAAAGAAACUUCAAUAUCCAGUAACAUAUUAGGUUCCAAAGAAUGAAGCUUCUACUGAAAGUAGCUAAAAAGGCUGGAAAACCCCAUAAUGCAUCAGCUUGUAAGUGUGAAUGAAAUGCAAGGGAUUGAGAAACUCUCAGGUCAGACAGGACAUGACAGUGGGAAACUGAAGUCAAACAGAGCCAUGACGUUGGUUUUAAAGAGCAUAAUUUGUGAAGCUGGAUGGACUUGUUCAUCUGUAUCAGAUCUUUGUAAUUCUUGGAGUAGGUGAGAGGAGUCCAGUGCCUACUAAGAGGACCUUCUUAUCUUAUCUGGAAUGCUAAACUAGCUGCAGAGGGACUGCAAGCAAAAUGUGCCUAUUUUAACCUUGCUGCUGACCUGGGAACUGGGAUGACCCCUCUGAAUUUGUAUCCAUAAGCAGACCCUCAUUCAGGUUUGCAGAAUGGCUUUAUAGCUCUGUAGUCUGAAAAUAUCAAACCCAUGAUUUAGAGUAAAGUAAUUCUGGAAUUUUAUUUAUACAGGGGUCUGAGAAGAAACAAGUACAAAACCUCUCUGUAGGAUUUCUAGUCUUCCAGACUUCAAAUAAAUCAUAUAAAAAUGUUUAUAAUUAAAACUCACUCAGUGAGCACGUUACUACAUUCAGAAGGAAAGAAGAUAUCAGACACAAUGAGGGAGAGCCAGCAGAACAACAGACUGCAAAGACUGAUCUGCAAAUGCUUCUGUUACUAAAAUUAUCCAACACCUAAUACUAAACAAUUGCAUUUUGUAUAUCUAAAAACAUACAGUUUGAAUAUUUUGAAAAGAAGAAGAGUCUAUCAAGAUGGGGCAGGCAGAUUUGAAAGAGAAUCAAAUAGUGCUGCCAGAGAUGAAGUAAAAUCAGAGUAAUUUUUAAAUAGCAAGUGUAGUGUCAGGCAAGAUAAAGCCGAAAGAAAAAUUAGUGCUCCAAAAUAUGUACGUAAGGAAAUUACCUCCAAUUUAAUAGAUGGAUAGAUGGAUGGAUGGAUGGAUGGAUGGAUGGAUAGAUAGAUAAUUACCAGAAGUCAGGGAGAGAGAAAUUGACAAAAUGGCAUUAAAGAGAUUCUGUGCUAUAAAAUACAUCCAGCAAGGUUAAGAAGAUUAUUAAAAUAUAAAUAAUGUUCUCUGAUCACACAGAAAUUAAUAGAGAGAUCAAUUUAAAAUAUAGUAAAAUUCUAUGUACUUAGAAAUUAGUAAAUAUUCUCCCCCAAAGAAUUCAUGAGGCAAAAAUAAAAGAUAAUAGUAAUUAGGAAUUUAUAAUUAUACAUUAUAAAUAAAUUUAUACAUUAUAUAUAAAUUUAUAAUUAAAAUUAUAAAUUUUGGAAAUAGAAGUAAAUUAGUACUUAAAUAAAAAUUUAUAACCUUAAAUAAUUUUAGAAGAAGAGAAAUAUUAGAAAUAAAUAGCUAUUCAUCGUACUUCAAAAUGAGAUAAGAGUAAAAGAAACAAAAAGUUGUGCUUUUAAAAAGACUAAUAAAAUGAAUAUACCAUUAGUGAGAUUAAGAAACACUAAAUUCAUUAACAAAAAGGAAUUAACAUUAGAAAAUAAGGAAUGAAAUACAAAGCAUUACUGUAGGUAUUCCAGACUUCUAAAAUGAUAACUGUGUGUUAAUCAGCUUCACUCCAUUGUGACAAAACACUGAGAUAAAACUGCCUGAGAAAAGGGUUACUUUCAUGUAUUAGCCUUAGGGAGACAUUCAAAAUUCAAACCACAACACUGUGAUUAAAAACAAAACAAAAACAUUUCUUUGAAAUUAAAUUUGAAUAUUUAUAGGAAAGAAAACUUCCUAAGAAUUAUAACUUACCCAAAGAGUCAGAUUAAUUAUUUUAGAAACCUAAAUUGCUUUAUGUCUGAUAUUCUGAGACGUUAUUAUAAUGUCUUCUUACAAAGUAAACCUCUCUGUGCUCAGAGAGGUUGUUCUGUGAGAAUAUUCAAAACAAGGGGAAAUAAUUCUAAUAUUACCUAAACUUUCCAAAAUAUUGAAAAAAAAUAAAGGACCUUUCCAAGUGAAUAUUACCCAAACUUUCCAAAACACUGCAGAAAGAAAGGACCUUUCUAAGUUAAUUUCAUCAGUUAGUAUAACCUUGGUUAUAAAAUUCCACCAAAGACUGUAGAUAAAAGUGAAAUUUCCAAUUUACUGUCACAGAGACUCAAGUAUCAUAAACAAAUCUGUGCUGUUUGAAUAAAUAGGUACAUAAGCAUAACACUUGAUGAAAGGGGAAUUUAACUCCAUGAAUUUGAAGUUGGGUUAACAUUUAAAAAUAUGAGUAAUCAUUUCAAAAAGGGAAAGAGAAUAUCAUGUGAUCAUUUUUUGGAAGUAGAUACAGUGCUUAGUAAAAUUCAAUCUCUAUUCAUGUAAAUAUAGGCAAAUUGGGAAUAGAAUAGAAUUUACUAAAUCUGACAAAUGGUAUCUUUCAGAUACAGCCGAUAUCGUAUGGUAGGCAGCCAUUAUAUGGAAGGUGUUGUGCUGUGGUUUGGAAUGUGCUAUGGGCUUCCCAUUGGUAACUUCUGGGCUUAUCUGGGGCUUGGAGGUUUCCCAAGCUGGAGUACUGAGUGUCUGGGGAACUGUGAAGGGGUCCUUCCACCAGGGUAGCCUGGUGUCUCUGGGUAGGCAAGGAUCAGCUUAACUCAAGGGGACAAAAGUCCUCAGGCUCCUUCCCAUUGGCUGCUCCUUUAGGUUCUACCCACUGCACUAGUGUCUCUGGGUGAGGAAGGAGGGUUGGGCUCCCAAGGACAAAGAAGCCUCGCUGGACUAGGCUGCUUCCUAUGGUCUCUCUUGACAGGUCUACUAUAUUACGUUGGUAAGUCUCUCUCUCUCUUUUUUAUUGAUUUUAUUUUUUUUAAAUACAUGACAGUGGAAUGCAUUACAAUUCUUAUUACACAUAUAGAGCACAAUUUUUUAUAUCUUUGUAUAUAAAGCAUGUUCACGCCAAUUCAUGUCUUGAUACAUGUACUUUGGGGUUUUUUUUUUUUUGCAUUUCAAUUCUUAUUACACAUAUAUACCACAUUUUUCAUAUCUUUGUUUGUAUAUAAUGUAUGUUGAUUGUUUCUUUUGCUGAGAAAAAAAAAACUUUUUAGUUUGAUUCCAUCCCAUUUAUUGAUUCUUGGUUUUAAUUCUUGCGCUAUAGGAGUCUUAUUAAGAAAAUUAGGGCCUAAUCCCACACGAUGAAGAUUAGGGCCUACUUUCUCUUCUAUCAGACGCAGAGUCUCCGGUUUAAUUCCUAGGUCUUUGAUCCAUUUUGAGUUAAGUUUUGCCAAAAACAUGCACUGGAGAAAAGAUAGCAUCUUCAACAAAUGGUGCUAGGAAAACUGGAAAUCCAUAUGCAACAAAAUGAAAUUAAACCCCUAUCUCUAUAUUACGUUGGAAUCUCUUGGUGAGAAAGCGGAGUCUCCGUCCUUUUGGAGAGAAGUGCUUGCUGGGCUGCUUAUAUCUGGUGGGACCCUCCACUGGUCUCUCUUAUUGGUGCUGCCUGCUGUGCUGAUGGGGGCAGAGGGAACCCAUUUAGCCUGGAGCAUUCUGCUGAAUCAGGCACUGGAAAUGUUGGGUCUGGGCGGUUCCUCUGCUGGGUGGUGUUCUGUUCUUCUUACAGCCUCUCCUUGGUCUCCUUUGGAUGACUCUUGUGCCACGUCCAGGGUUUAUCGUCAUGCUUAGGGGGAAGGAGGAAGGAGGAAUGAUCAUAAUCUCUUCUCCAGACUGGCAGUGUCCUUAUUAGUUUUUAACCUGUGCACAUAUGGUGUGGAUCCCACUCUGUUGCUUACAGAUUUUUGUAAUAAUGUGAAAUUUAUAAAACAGAAUGCUUAGUAGGUUAAAUUUUUUUUUUUGAUUGCCUGCUGUCCCCUUAAACUUACUCCUGAGUCCUAUAGGAAAUACAAAACGUGUUUGUACAUGAAUAAAAAUAUUUUUCCUAACUAUAAAGAGGAGAUCCAAAAAGCAUUGUCAGUAAUCUGUUAUCAUUCACUAUCUAAGCCAUCAGUCCAUACAAAGUUUAUAUGUGGUAAAUUUAUUUAUUAUACUGUAUAAAAUACAUUUAUUUAUUUUAUAUCCUGGAUAUUUUAAUUUAUUUGGAAAUAUUAUUUGAUGUUUAUCUGAAAACUACACAAUAAAUUGAAAUGUAAUUAAUAAUUUCUUUCUGUUGAACACAUGAUACAUAUCUGUUGUUUUAAAUGUAUUGUCAAGGUUGCGGCCAUAACAAAUCUACAAAGAUAGCAUUAUUAUCCACAAAUAUAAAUGUGAAAACUAUUUAUUCUUCUCUAGCACACUUGACUAUGACCACAGCUGCACAAAAUGCUCAUAUGUCCUUCCAAAGGUCAUAUUCUUCACACUGUACCACUUUCUUUGAAAAAAAAAUGGUGAUAUCAAACUAUGCUGUAUAAAAGAAAAAAAGUUAAUGAACUGUUCUAAUUUUCUCCCAUUAUUGUAUUAUUUCAUAAAUCCAAAACAAUAAUUUAUAUGUUCUUGUUGAAACAAAUAAAUGAAAUCAAAUGCCCCCGAAAUUAAAAAUACAUAUACAUAUUGAAAUGAAAAAUACUGUAAAAAACAGGAUCCAAGACACCUUUGUGUCUGUUUUUUGCUUGAUUCCUUUUUGAGAUUCUAUUAGAAUUGUGAAUACAUGGUCAAAAUUGAAAACAGAUAACAGAUUGAGGGAAAUACAUAUCCCAUUAAAUUUAAAGCAUUAUUUUCUUCCUUCACCCAAUCUCAAAAAGUAUGUGGACAGUAAGAAUGGCUUCCUUCAUUUACAUUGGAUUCUAUUACUCUCAGGUUGAUACAAAUAUUUGGGGGGAAGUAAGAUUAAUUGCAUUUUAUAAGAAUAACUGAAUUCUCAAUAUAUUCACAGAAUUGACUUGUGGUUUUAAUCUGAAAUAUUUUUUCUAGUGUUAAGAUUGUUAAGUACCUCCUAAGAAGCAAUUUCAUUCUGAGGUGGGACACUGAAGACAAUUUGGUUUUUUAUAUUUUUUUAAUUCCCAGUGAAUGUUGUACUUGUGGAAAAAGAGAGUACACCCCAUUUGGUCAUCUCAAAAAUCGUGCUCCAUUUAACGUCUGAGCUUGGAUUUGUUCCUGAGUUUCCACACACAUUUGAGUGGAACAUGCACACCUUUAAAUGAAACUGGAUGCACAUUUCACUUGGAGAACAAAGGUUAAAAACCAACCAACAUUCUUUAAUAUCCAUAAAUGUCAUCAUUCAGAACCCCUUGUGAAAUUUUUUAAAUAAGAAACAUACUUGGUAUCUUUUUUUAAUCAUAUUCUUCCUUUUAUAAAUGGGAGUAACUUCUUCCAACAUUAAUAUCAAGUACAUGAGCCUUGCCAGGAAUCUUGUGUUUCUCUGGGUUGAAAGCAUCCAGUCAGAUCUCAUAUAGCAUUCACCUUUCUUCUGAAAACGCUUGGAUCACAGCCCUGCCCUACUAAAUAUUUCCUUAACCUUUUUAAGGUCGAGGAUUUUUAUUUUCUCCUUUCUUCUUAAUAUAGCAUUAAACUCCAAGUCCCACAGCGUAUGCUGCGUGCUGCUUCUCCUCCGAGGCUUAACUGCAGAAGGGAGCCUUAUUGGUGGGCAUAAACCAAGCUGCUUCAAGGGGAGGACACAAUUAGCUGCUGAUUGCUGAACUGAAAUAUGGAGCCCAGUGUUACCAUUGAUUUGAACGCGAAGCCAGAAGCAAAGACACAGAAGUGCCCUCGGAGGCUGGCACCUACAACCUCCCUCAGGAAGAAACCAAAACCAAAGGAAGCAGAGGACUGGCUGACUCCCAGCUCUCCCUGUUUAAGCUUCUUUAGCGAUUCCUAAAGCAGUCGCUGACUCGGAAUUGCCUCUGUCUCUGCUGACACGAUCCACUUCUGCGUUAACGCUCUCCUACUUCUAAGCAGCAUGGAGAGAGGUUUGGAGAUGCAGGGGCAGUGCUGUUAAACAACGGUAACCUAGUCUUCAGCUGCCCUAUGACCCAUCAGUCCCAUUCCCCCUGAGGAGCCCUAGUGUGAGCCUAGCACGUUUUGCUUGUCUCCCACGUGGCCACUGAAGAUCUAAUUCUUCACUGCUGUAAAUACAUUCUUACAUACAGCCUGUUGCUGGGCAUGAAUACACAGUUUCUCUGGCUCAUCCUGAAAACCAGUUGGGUGUGAUUGACAUUUUUGGUUUACAGUAAAUCUGACAUUCUCUACGUACACCAUUUCACUUUAGCACAACAGAUUCUUAUUACACAUCUAAUGUGUGCCAGGUCCCUGGUGUCAGAUUCCUCUCUGAUCCCAUCCAGUCUCAAGCAGCACAUUCUAAGAGCCAGAGUUUGGGCUGAUAAAAUAACCCCAACUCUACUCCUAUUGUCUAUAGCCUUCCUGUUCUCCUCUUGUAGCUAACAAGUCUCCAAAACAGCGUCUCCAUCCACAUAUCGACAGCUUCACAAAUACAGCAUUAUGUUUCUUUCAGUCACAAAUGAUGCCUCCCCUCACAUACCAAUUUUUGGUUUCGGUUUUAUACACAUUAGUUUGGGAAGCUAAAAGCAAUAUAAAAUAAUUUUUGGAUCUUUUAUUGGUCACGAUAAAAAUUGAUAAAAAUUGAGCAUUUCUGGUGAAGAUUAUGGAUCCAUAACAGCUAAAACAGGACACCGUGUUCAAACCUGGUAUUUGGUUUCCACUGAAUGAUGUGAAGAUAUGUAAUACUCUCUCUGUGAGCUUUCUUUUCAACUAUUUCAUGUCUUACAGUUAAAAAAGCUACAUAGUAAAG